UGGGGAAUCUUGGACAAUGGGGGCAACCCUGAUCCAGCAAUGCCGCGUGUGGGAUGAAGGCCUUCGGGUUGUAAACCACUUUUGGCGGGGGCGAAAUAUCGAGUGCUAAUACCAUUCGGUGAUGACGGUACCCGCAGAAUAAGCACCGGCUAACUACGUGCCAGCAGCCGCGGUAAUACGUAGGGUGCAAGCGUUAAUCGGAAUUACUGGGCGUAAAGCGUGCGCAGGCGGUUAGGUAAGACAGGUGUGAAAUUCCCGGGCUCAACCUGGGAACUGCAUUUGUGACUGCCUGACUAGAGUGCGGCAGAGGGGAGUGGAAUUCCGCGUGUAGCAGUGAAAUGCGUAGAUAUGCGGAGGAACACCGAUGGCGAAGGCAACUCCCUGGGCCUGCACUGACGCUCAUGCACGAAAAGCGUGGGGAGCAAACAGGAUUAGAUACCCUGGUAGUCCACGCCCUAAAACGAUGUCGACUAGUUGUUGGACGGGUUA
Molecule: ribosomal RNA, 489 nt
Filed under: uncultured bacterium
Lineage: Bacteria
Description: partial 16S ribosomal RNA
Rfam family: Bacterial small subunit ribosomal RNA
Source: RNAcentral